RNAcentral lists this ribosomal RNA (341 nucleotides) under uncultured Pezizomycotina. RNAcentral describes it as "partial 18S ribosomal RNA". The record is from RNAcentral. Lineage: Eukaryota; Fungi; Ascomycota.
UUCCGGCGCCUGCCGAAGCCUUAGCCGCCUGAACGGCGGGGCCCGCGACUCGAAACAGAGGGCCCUCAAGAGCUAGCCCACCCGGGCGACAUCACUAAAUUGCGGGGACGCUCGCCAAACUCUCGCACCCUCCGGUCCAGCGAUGGCACCGGGGCGCCCGCCUCCGCGGGUGCGACGGUAGCAGCGCCAGUUUGAGCCACCCGCAGCCAACCCCUCCGCGCGAGGGGGAUGUUCACAGACUAGAUGGUGAUGGGCGCGACAGCGUCUAAGAUAUAGUCGGCCGUCGGCCUGCGCCGGCGACUCUGAAGCGUUCCGUAGGUGAACCUGCGGAAGGAUCAUUA